Molecule: unclassified non-coding RNA, 375 nt
Filed under: uncultured bacterium
Lineage: Bacteria
Description: contains 16S-23S intergenic spacer region
Source: RNAcentral
UCCGAGUUGACCCCGGCAGUCUCCUGCGAGUCCCCGCCAUUACGCGCUGGCAACACAGGACAAGGGUUGCGCUCGUUGCGGGACUUAACCCAACAUCUCACGACACGAGCUGACGACAGCCAUGCAGCACCUGUCUCAUGGUUCCCGAAGGCACCAAGGCAUCUCUGCCAAGUUCCGUGGAUGUCAAGGCCAGGUAAGGUUCUUCGCGUUGCAUCGAAUUAAACCACAUACUCCACCGCUUGUGCGGGCCCCCGUCAAUUCCUUUGAGUUUCAAUCUUGCGAUCGUACUCCCCAGGUGGAUUACUUAAUGCUUUCGCUUAGACGCGUACAGUGUAUCGCACACAUCGAGUAAUCAUCGUUUACGGCGUGGACUAC